CUUUCUUCUCCUACAGUAUAACACUAAGGCAAGGCAGAUUUUCACAUUGAGAGAUUCUUCAAGCUUUCUUCUCCUACAGUAUAACACUAAGGCAAGGCAGAUUGUUCCAUUUUGAUUUACAGCAACCAGGUAUAUCUCAAUGACCUGGCGGACAUUUCUAGCCUCUUUAUUUUGAAUUCUCACACUAUCUCACUGGUGGAAAACUUUGGAAGUUGUCUCAAAAUAAAGGUCCAUAUUUGGAUUUUCUUCACUGAUUUCUUUCAUUUCGAUCUCUCACCGAUGGACGGAUCUGAACUCAGUCAUGAAUUUAGAAUUUCAGAACAUGCAAAUGGAAAAACGCCAGAAAAGAUUUGGUGAAUGUAAUUAGCACACGAGACAUCAGAAUAUAAUAAAGACCGGCAGUACGUGCAUGCCUUAUAGUUGAUAUUUAG
Long non-coding RNA from Ictalurus punctatus (channel catfish), 431 nucleotides. Lineage: Eukaryota; Metazoa; Chordata; Actinopteri; Siluriformes; Ictaluridae. The record is from Ensembl.